AUUGAACGCUGGCGGCAGGCUUAACACAUGCAAGUCGAGCGGAGAUGAGGUGCUUGCACCUUAUCUUAGCGGCGGACGGGUGAGUAAUGCUUAGGAAUCUGCCUAUUAGUGGGGGACAACAUUCCGAAAGGAAUGCUAAUACCGCAUACGUCCUACGGGAGAAAGCAGGGGAUCUUCGGACCUUGCGCUAAUAGAUGAGCCUAAGUCGGAUUAGCUAGUUGGUGGGGUAAAGGCCUACCAAGGCGACGAUCUGUAGCGGGUCUGAGAGGAUGAUCCGCCACACUGGGACUGAGACACGGCCCAGACUCCUACGGGAGGCAGCAGUGGGGAAUAUUGGACAAUGGGGGAAACCCUGAUCCAGCCAUGCCGCGUGUGUGGAGAAGGCCUUAUGGUUGUAAAGCACUUUAAGCGAGGAGGAGGCUACUGAGACUAAUACUCUUGGAUAGUGGACGUUACUCGCAGAAUAAGCACCGGCUAACUCUGUGCCAGCAGCCGCCGUAA
Molecule: ribosomal RNA, 501 nt
Filed under: uncultured bacterium
Lineage: Bacteria
Description: partial 16S ribosomal RNA
Rfam family: Bacterial small subunit ribosomal RNA
Source: RNAcentral